RNAcentral lists this ribosomal RNA (468 nucleotides) under uncultured bacterium. RNAcentral's name for it is "partial 16S ribosomal RNA". It matches the Rfam family "Bacterial small subunit ribosomal RNA", at positions 28 to 507 of the family's 1533-position model. The record is from RNAcentral.
GACGAACGCUGGCGGCGUGCUUAACACAUGCAAGUCGAACGGAAAGGCCCUGCUUUUGUGGGGUGCUCGAGUGGCGAACGGGUGAGUAACACGUGGGUAACCUGCCCUUGACUUUGGGAUAACUUCAGGAAACUGGGGCUAAUACCGGAUAGGAGCUCCUGCUGCAUGGUGGGGGUUGGAAAGUUUCGGCGGUUGGGGAUGGACUCGCGGCUUAUCAGCUUGUUGGUGGGGUAGUGGCUUACCAAGGCUUUGACGGGUAGCCGGCCUGAGGGGGUGACCGGCCACAUUGGGACUGAGAUACGGCCCAGACUCCUACGGGAGGCAGCAGUGGGGAAUAUUGCACAAUGGGCGGAAGCCUGAUGCAGCAACGCCGCGUGCGGGAUGACGGCCUUCGGGUUGUAAACCGCUUUCGCCUGUGACGAAGCGUGAGUGACGGUAAUGGGUAAAGAAGCACCGGCUAACUACGUG